This 585-nucleotide ribosomal RNA is filed under the name Triticum aestivum (bread wheat). Its description in RNAcentral is "partial small subunit ribosomal RNA". Lineage: Eukaryota; Viridiplantae; Streptophyta; Magnoliopsida; Poales; Poaceae. The record is from RNAcentral.
AUGGCCCGCUUGUAUGUUGGCAACUUGGAUGCCCGGGUGACUGCUGGGGAACUUGAAGACGAGUUCCGUGUGUUUGGAGUUUUGCGAAGUGUCUGGGUUGCACGUAAGCCACCUGGUUUUGCGUUUAUCGAUUUUGAUGACAAGCGGGAUGCUGAGGAUGCACUUCGUGAUCUAGAUGGCAAGAAUGGAUGGAGGGUUGAGCUGUCUCGCAAUGACCGUGGUGACCGUGGAGGUCGUGGUGGUGGUGGUGGUGGCGGCGGCGGCGGUCGUGAUCGUGGUGGGUCUGAUAUGAAAUGCUAUGAAUGUGGUGAAUCUGGGCAUUUUGCUCGUGAAUGUCGUCUGCGUAUUGGUUCUGGUGGUCUGGGCAGUGGAAGGCGUCGCAGCAGGAGCCGCAGUCGCAGCCGCAGUCCUAGGUACCGUAGGAGUCCGAGCUAUGGCAGAAGAAGUUACAGCCCUCGUGAUCGCUCUCCAAGACGCCGCAGUGCUUCUCCAGCCCCAGCCCGUGGUCGCAGCUAUAGCAAGUCACCGGUCCGUGCCAGGGAUGAUUCUCCUGAUGCUAAAGGGUAUCGCCGCAGCCGGAGUUAG